CCUACGGGAGGCAGCAGUGAGGAAUCUUCCACAAUGGGCGAAAGCCUGAUGGAGCGACACCGCGUGCGGGAAGACAGUCUUCGGAUUGUAAACCGCUUUUCUGUGAGAAUACUUCGAAUGUAUCACAGGAAUAAUCACGGCUAAUCACGU
RNAcentral lists this ribosomal RNA (150 nucleotides) under uncultured bacterium. RNAcentral describes it as "partial 16S ribosomal RNA". It matches the Rfam family "Bacterial small subunit ribosomal RNA", at positions 338 to 506 of the family's 1533-position model. The record is from RNAcentral.